AAGUCGUAACAAGGUCUCCGUUGGUGAACCAGCGGAGGGAUCAUUACAGAGUUACCUAACUCCAAACCCAUGUGAACUUACCUAUGUUGCCUCGGCGGGGAAAGCCUACCCGGUACCUACCCUGUAGCUACCCGGGAGCGAGCUACCCUGUAGCCCGCUGCAGGCCUACCCGCCGGUGGACGUUGAAACUCUUGUUUUUUAGUGAUUAUCUGAGUGUUUAUACUUAAUAAGUUAAAACUUUCAACAACGGAUCUCUUGGUUCUG
RNAcentral lists this unclassified non-coding RNA (264 nucleotides) under air metagenome. RNAcentral's name for it is "partial contains small subunit ribosomal RNA, internal transcribed spacer 1, and 5.8S ribosomal RNA". The stretch from base 1 to 46 matches the Rfam family "Eukaryotic small subunit ribosomal RNA", at positions 1786 to 1831 of the family's 1831-position model. The record is from RNAcentral.